UACAGAGGGUGCAAGCGUUAAUCGGAAUUACUGGGCGUAAAGCGUGCGUAGACGGUUAUGUAAGUCAGGUGUGAAAUCCCCGGGCUCAACCUGGGAACUGCAUCUGUGACUGCAUCGCUGGAGUGCGGCAGAGGGGGAUGGAAUUCCGCGUGUAGCAGUGAAAUGCGUAGAUAUGCGGAGGAACACCGAUGGCGAAGGCAAUCCCCUGGGCCUGCACUGACGCUCAUGCACGAAAGCGUGGGGAGCAAACAGG
Molecule: ribosomal RNA, 253 nt
Filed under: uncultured bacterium
Lineage: Bacteria
Description: partial 16S ribosomal RNA
Rfam family: Bacterial small subunit ribosomal RNA
Source: RNAcentral